RNAcentral lists this ribosomal RNA (403 nucleotides) under bacterium. RNAcentral describes it as "partial 16S ribosomal RNA". It matches the Rfam family "Bacterial small subunit ribosomal RNA", at positions 355 to 776 of the family's 1533-position model. The record is from RNAcentral. RNAcentral also lists the same sequence under 1 other name.
UGGGGAAUAUUGCACAAUGGGGGAAACCCUGAUGCAGCGACGCCGCGUGAACGAAGAAGGUAUUCGUAUCGUAAAGUUCUGUCCUAUGGGAAGAUAAUGACAGUACCAUAGAAGAAAGCUCCGGCUAAAUACGUGCCAGCAGCCGCGGUAAUACGUAUGGAGCGAGCGUUGUCCGGAAUUAUUGGGCGUAAAGGGUACGCAGGCGGUUUAAUAAGUCGAAUGUUAAAGAUCGGGGCUCAACCCCGUAAAGCAUUGGAAACUGAUAAACUUGAGUAGUGGAGAGGAAAGUGGAAUUCCUAGUGGAGUGGUGAAAUACGUAGAUAUUAGGAGGAAUACCAGUAGCGAAGGCGACUUUCUGGACACAAACUGACGCUGAGGUACGAAAGCGUGGGGAGCAAACAGG